CAGCGCCACGAGUGGCAAUCGUGUAUUUGGCCUAAAGCGUCCGUAGCCGGCGCUGUACAUCCUUUGUGAAAUCGUUGCGCUUAACGUAACGGCGUGCAGGGGACACGGCAGUGCUUGAGACCGGGAGGAGUCAGAGGUAUUCUUGGGGGAGCGGUAAAAUGCUAUAAUCCCAGGAGGACCACCAGUGGCGAAGGCUGCUGACUAGAACACGUCUGACGGUCAGGGACGAAAGCUGGGGUAGCGAACCGGAUUAGAUACCCGAGUAGUCC
RNAcentral lists this ribosomal RNA (269 nucleotides) under uncultured archaeon. RNAcentral describes it as "partial 16S ribosomal RNA". It matches the Rfam family "Archaeal small subunit ribosomal RNA", at positions 477 to 747 of the family's 1478-position model. The record is from RNAcentral.